This 460-nucleotide ribosomal RNA is filed under the name uncultured bacterium. RNAcentral describes it as "partial 16S ribosomal RNA". It matches the Rfam family "Bacterial small subunit ribosomal RNA", at positions 338 to 795 of the family's 1533-position model. The record is from RNAcentral.
CCUACGGGAGGCAGCAGUGAGGAAUAUUGGUCAAUGGCCGGAAGGCUGAACCAGCCAUGCCGCGUGAAGGUCAGUGCCCUAUGGGCGUUAAACUUCUUUUGUGCGGGAGCAAUAAUGGUCACGUGUGGCCAGACGAGAGUACCGUACGAAUAAGCAUCGGCUAACCCCGUGCCAGCAGCCGCGGUAAUACGGGGGAUGCAAGCGUUAUCCGGAUUUCUUGGGUUGAAAGGGUGCUUAGGCUGUGAGGGAAGUCAGGGGGGAAAUGCCCCCGCUCAACGGGGUGAAGUGCCAUUGAUACUGCCUGGCUGGAAUGCGGAUGCCGGGGGAGGAAUGUGUGGUGUAGCGGUGAAAUGCAUAGAUAUCACACAGAACACCGAUUGCGAAGGCAUCUCACGAAUCCGCGAUUGACGCUGAUGCACGAAAGCGUGGGUAUCAAACAGGAUUAGAUACCCCUGUAGUC